This is an RNA transcript of Myotis lucifugus (little brown bat), 1091 nucleotides long. It is a transcript of the gene named cutA divalent cation tolerance homolog, with no coding region annotated. The transcript is spliced from 4 exons. Lineage: Eukaryota; Metazoa; Chordata; Mammalia; Chiroptera; Vespertilionidae. The record is from RefSeq and is a predicted model, not a curated record.
CCUCUUCCUGGGUGUGGGGCCCUUUCUCGGCGUUACUGUGGCCUUUGAUAUCCAACCCUCCUCCGCCGGCUUAGGCUGCAUGAGAGGGGUGCGGGCUCCCGCGGUCCUGCUCGGCGGAGGGGUGAGUGAGCGGCCCCGCCCCUCCCGGUUCGGAAGCCUGGACCACCACCCGCACCCGAACCCCAGAGGUUGGCCCCUGAGCAGAGGGUAUAAACCGAGCCUUUGCCUGAAUUUUUCUAGUUUCUCUCUCAGCUUCAGGGACCUUUCCUUCGGGGUGCAGAAGAGGGAGGGCAGAGUCCGAGUGUCUGUCCAAACGAGGGGUUUCUGGGGUGCAGUUGCCUGUGGUUUGUGGGGAGACACCGAAUUCAGCGCCUGCUCCCAGGCCGCGCUGCUCCUGUCGCUCCUUUGGAUGCCGGCGCUGCUGCCUGUGGCCUCCCGCCUCCUCUCGCUGCCCCGCGCCCUGACGGCCAUGGCUUCAGGAAGCCCCCCGGCCCAGCCCUCGCCGGCCGCGGACUCCGGUUACGUUCCGGGCUCGGUCUCUGCAGCCUUCGUGACCUGCCCCAAUGAGAAGGUCGCCAAGGAGAUCGCCAGGGCUGUGGUGGAGAAGCGCCUGGCAGCCUGCGUCAACCUCAUCCCUCAGAUUACAUCCAUCUAUGAGUGGAAAGGAAAGAUUGAGGAGGACAGUGAGGUGCUGAUGGUGAGAAUCAUUUCCCCACCCCGCGAAGCCUCAAUUCUCUGACCUUUGACCCCUCUCCUUCAUGAGAUCCUGAGAUGAGCCCCAUGGGUGGACUCAACCACAUUUGUCUUCACCCCUUAGAUGAUUAAAACCCCAAGUUCCUUGGUGCCAGCUUUGACAGAUUUUGUUCGCUCUGUGCACCCUUACGAAGUGGCUGAAGUGAUCUCCUUGCCUGUGGAGCAGGGGAACUCCCCAUACCUGCGCUGGGUGCGCCAGGUGACAGAGGCAGCUUCUGACCCCAGCACAGUCCCACCAUGACGAGCCCUGUUCCUGCCAAGUCCCCGCCUAUACUUCAGGGCCCUCUGACCUGCAGAGGACGCCUGGGCCCCUAAUAAAUCCUACCUUUGGUUCUUUC